GUAGGGAAUAUUGGACAAUGGGCGAAAGCCUGAUCCAGCAAUGCCGCGUGAGUGAUGAAGGCCUUAGGGUUGUAAAGCUCUUUUACCAGGGAUGAUAAUGACAGUACCUGGAGAAUAAGCUCCGGCUAACUCCGUGCCAGCAGCCGCGGUAAUACGGAGGGAGCUAGCGUUGUUCGGAAUUACUGGGCGUAAAGCGCGCGUAGGCGGCGAUUUAAGUCAGAGGUGAAAGCCCGGGGCUCAACCCCGGAAUAGCCUUUGAGACUGGAUUGCUAGAAUCCUGGAGAGGUGAGUGGAAUUCCGAGUGUAGAGGUGAAAUUCGUAGAUAUUCGGAAGAACACCAGUGGCGAAGGCGGCUCACUGGACAGGUAUUGACGCUGAGGUGCGAAAGCGUGGGGAGCAAACAGGAUUAGAUACCCCAGUAGUCC
Molecule: ribosomal RNA, 425 nt
Filed under: uncultured bacterium
Lineage: Bacteria
Description: partial 16S ribosomal RNA
Rfam family: Bacterial small subunit ribosomal RNA
Source: RNAcentral